RNAcentral lists this ribosomal RNA (431 nucleotides) under Staphylococcus sp. RNAcentral describes it as "bacterial SSU rRNA". It matches the Rfam family "Bacterial small subunit ribosomal RNA", at positions 594 to 1023 of the family's 1533-position model. The record is from RNAcentral. Lineage: Bacteria; Bacillati; Bacillota; Bacilli; Caryophanales; Staphylococcaceae.
GUGAAAGCCCACGGCUCAACCGUGGAGGGUCAUUGGAAACUGGAAAACUUGAGUGCAGAAGAGGAAAGUGGAAUUCCAUGUGUAGCGGUGAAAUGCGCAGAGAUAUGGAGGAACACCAGUGGCGAAGGCGACUUUCUGGUCUGUAACUGACGCUGAUGUGCGAAAGCGUGGGGAUCAAACAGGAUUAGAUACCCUGGUAGUCCACGCCGUAAACGAUGAGUGCUAAGUGUUAGGGGGUUUCCGCCCCUUAGUGCUGCAGCUAACGCAUUAAGCACUCCCCCCGGGGAGUACGACCGCAAGGUUGAAACUCAGAGGAAUUGACGGGGACCCGCACAAGCGGUGGAGCAUGUGGUUUAAUUCGAACCAGCGCGAAGAACCUUACCAAAUCUUGACAUCCUUUGACAACUCUACACAUACAGCCUUCCCCUUCG